RNAcentral lists this ribosomal RNA (452 nucleotides) under uncultured Bacteroidota bacterium. Its description in RNAcentral is "bacterial SSU rRNA". It matches the Rfam family "Bacterial small subunit ribosomal RNA", at positions 1 to 443 of the family's 1533-position model. Lineage: Bacteria; Pseudomonadati; Bacteroidota. The record is from RNAcentral.
GGUCCAGACUUUGAUUAUGGCUCAGGAUGAACGCUAGCUACAGGCUUAACACAUGCAAGUCGAGGGGAAACGACAUCGAAAGCUUGCUUUUGAUGGGCGUCGACCGGCGCACGGGUGAGUAACGCGUAUCCAACCUGCCCAUCACUUGGGGAUAACCUUGCGAAAGUAAGACUAAUACCCAAUGACGUCUCUAGAAGACAUCUGAAAGAGAUUAAAGAUUUAUCGGUGAUGGAUGGGGAUGCGUCUGAUUAGCUUGUUGGCGGGGUAACGGCCCACCAAGGCAACGAUCAGUAGGGGUUCUGAGAGGAAGGUCCCCCACAUUGGAACUGAGACACGGUCCAAACUCCUACGGGAGGCAGCAGUGAGGAAUAUUGGUCAAUGGGCGAGAGCCUGAACCAGCCAAGUAGCGUGCAGGAUGACGGCCCUAUGGGUUGUAAACUGCUUUUAUAAGG